UACGUAGGGGCCGAGCGUUGUCCGGAGUUAUUGGGCGUAAAGCGCGCGCAGGCGGCCUCGCGCGCCCGACGUGAAAGCCCCCGGCUUAACCGGGGAGGGUCGUUGGGGACGGCGGGGCUUGAGGGCGGGAGAGGUCGGUGGAAUUCCCGGUGUAGUGGUGAAAUGCGUAGAGAUCGGGAGGAACACCUGUGGCGAAGGCGGCCGACUGGGCCGACACUGACGCUGAGGCGCGAAGGCGUGGGGAGCGAACGGG
RNAcentral lists this ribosomal RNA (253 nucleotides) under uncultured bacterium. RNAcentral describes it as "partial 16S ribosomal RNA". It matches the Rfam family "Bacterial small subunit ribosomal RNA", at positions 524 to 776 of the family's 1533-position model. The record is from RNAcentral.